CCUACGGGAGGCAGCAGUGAGGAAUAUUGGUCAAUGGUCGGGAGACUGAACCAGCCAAGCCGCGUGAGGGAUGAAGGUACAGAGUAUCGUAAACCUCUUUUGUCAGGGAACAAAGGCGGGGACGUGUCCCCGGAUGAGUGUACCUGAAGAAAAAGCAUCGGCUAACUCCGUGCCAGCAGCCGCGGUAAUACGGAGGAUGCGAGCGUUAUCCGGAUUUAUUGGGGUUAACGGGGGCGCAGGCGGUCUGUUAAGUCAGCGGUCAAAGCCCGGGGCUCAACCCCGGACCGCCGUUGAAACUGGCAGUCGCGAGUAGGAGAGAAGUAGGCGGAAUGCGCGGUGUAGCGGUGAAAUGCAUAGAUAUCGCGCAGAACUCCGAUUGCGAAGGCAGCAUGCCGGCUCCACACUGACGCUGAGGCACGAAAGCGUGGGUAUCGAACAGGAUUAGAUACCCCAGUAGUC
Molecule: ribosomal RNA, 459 nt
Filed under: uncultured bacterium
Lineage: Bacteria
Description: partial 16S ribosomal RNA
Rfam family: Bacterial small subunit ribosomal RNA
Source: RNAcentral